RNAcentral lists this ribosomal RNA (95 nucleotides) under Ruminiclostridium sufflavum DSM 19573. RNAcentral's name for it is "partial 16S ribosomal RNA". It matches the Rfam family "Bacterial small subunit ribosomal RNA", at positions 1 to 91 of the family's 1533-position model. Lineage: Bacteria; Bacillati; Bacillota; Clostridia; Eubacteriales; Oscillospiraceae. The record is from RNAcentral.
AUUAAUUUGAGAGUUUGAUCCUGGCUCAGGACGAACGCUGGCGGCGUGCCUAACACAUGCAAGUCGAGCGGUCUCAUGUUUAACACUGAAUAUUC